Small nuclear RNA from Suncus etruscus (white-toothed pygmy shrew), 104 nucleotides. Lineage: Eukaryota; Metazoa; Chordata; Mammalia; Eulipotyphla; Soricidae. The record is from RefSeq and is a predicted model, not a curated record.
GAGCUCGCUUCGGCAGCACAUAUACUAAAAUUGGAACGAUACAGAGAAGAUUAACAUGGCCCCUGCAUAAGGAUGACACGCAUCGUGAAGCAUUCCAUAUUAAA